This 102-nucleotide non-coding RNA is filed under the name Bacillus sp. (in: firmicutes). RNAcentral describes it as "Bacillus sp. Glycine sequence". It matches the Rfam family "Glycine riboswitch aptamer". From Rfam's summary of the family: This family represents the bacterial glycine riboswitch. Glycine riboswitches usually consist of two metabolite-binding aptamers domains with similar structures in tandem. The record is from RNAcentral. RNAcentral also lists the same sequence under 1 other name. Lineage: Bacteria; Bacillati; Bacillota; Bacilli; Caryophanales; Bacillaceae.
AUGAAUAUUGUGGGAGAGACUAAAUGAAAUAAUUUAGCACCGAAGGAGCAAAACCAAAAAGUUGGGUACUAAUCUCUCAGGUAAAAGGACUACAAUAGGACG